Molecule: non-coding RNA, 72 nt
Organism: Phrynosoma platyrhinos (Desert horned lizard)
Lineage: Eukaryota; Metazoa; Chordata; Lepidosauria; Squamata; Phrynosomatidae
Source: the annotation of a GenBank genome assembly
GACAGUGUGGCACAGUGGUUUGAGUGUUGGACUAUGACUCUACAGACAAAGUUUCGAUUCCCAGCUUGGCCA